UGACAUGCAAGUCGAGCGGUAGAGAGAAGCUUGCUUCUCUUGAGAGCGGCGGACGGGUGAGUAAUGCCUAGGAAUCUGCCUGGUAGUGGGGGAUAACGUUCGGAAACGGACGCUAAUACCGCAUACGUCCUACGGGAGAAAGCAGGGGACCUUCGGGCCUUGCGCUAUCAGAUGAGCCUAGGUCGGAUUAGCUAGUUCCUGGGGUAAUGGCUCACCUUGGCGACGAUCCGUAACUGGUCUGAGAGGAUGAUCAGUCACACUGGUUCUGAGACACGGUCCAGACUCCUACGGGAGGCAGCAGUGGGGAAUAUUGGACAAUGGGCGAAAGCCUGAUCCAGCCAUGCCGCGUGUGUGAAGAAGGUCUUCGGAUUGUAAAGCACUUUAAGUUGGGAGGAAGGGCCGUUACCUAAUACGUGAUGGUUUUGACGUUACCGACAGAAUAAGCACCGGCUUUCUCUGUGCCAGCAGCCGCGGUAAUACAGAGGGUGCAAGCGUUAAUCGGAAUUACUGGGCGUAAAGCGCGCGUAGGUGGUUUGUUAAGUUGGAUGUGAAAUCCCCGGGCUCAACCUGGGAACUGCAUUCAAAACUGACUGACUAGAGUAUGGUAGAGGGUGGUGGAAUUUGGUGUGUAGCGGUGAAAUGCGUAGAUAUAGGAAGGAACACCAGUGGCGAAGGCGACCACCUGGACUGAUACUGACACUGAGGUGCGAAAGCGUGGCCAGCAAACAGGAUUAGAUACCCUGGUAGUCCACGGGGUAAACGAUGUCAACUAGCCGUUGG
RNAcentral lists this ribosomal RNA (780 nucleotides) under Pseudomonas sp. RNAcentral describes it as "bacterial SSU rRNA". It matches the Rfam family "Bacterial small subunit ribosomal RNA", at positions 51 to 826 of the family's 1533-position model. Lineage: Bacteria; Pseudomonadati; Pseudomonadota; Gammaproteobacteria; Pseudomonadales; Pseudomonadaceae. The record is from RNAcentral.